Molecule: non-coding RNA, 70 nt
Organism: Podarcis lilfordi (Lilford's wall lizard)
Lineage: Eukaryota; Metazoa; Chordata; Lepidosauria; Squamata; Lacertidae
Source: the annotation of a GenBank genome assembly
GAAUAGCUUAGUGGGCUAGAGUGUGGUGCCGAUAAAGCCAAGGUUGCCGGUUCAAUCCCCGUAUGGGACA